RNAcentral lists this signal recognition particle RNA (269 nucleotides) under Chlorocebus sabaeus (green monkey). RNAcentral's name for it is "Metazoan signal recognition particle RNA". It matches the Rfam family "Metazoan signal recognition particle RNA". From Rfam's summary of the family: The signal recognition particle (SRP) is a universally conserved ribonucleoprotein. It is involved in the co-translational targeting of proteins to membranes. The record is from Rfam by way of RNAcentral. Lineage: Eukaryota; Metazoa; Chordata; Mammalia; Primates; Cercopithecidae.
GCCGGGCGCAGUGGCUCAAGCCUGUAAUCCCAGCACUUUGGGAGGCCGAGACUGGCGGAUCACGAGGUCAGGAGAUCGAGACCAUCCUGGCUAACACGGCGAAACCCCGUCUCUACUAAAAAAAAUACAAAAAACUAGCUGGGCGAGGUGGCNNNNNNNNNNGCCACCUCGCCCAGCUAGUUUUUUGUAUUUUUUUUAGUAGAGACGGGGUUUCGCCGUGUUAGCCAGGAUGGUCUCGAUCUCCUGACCUCGUGAUCCGCCCGUCUCGG